AUCCAGCUGCCGAGUCCUAAAUAGGACGAAACGCGCGUUCUGGAU
Non-coding RNA from Schistosoma mansoni, 45 nucleotides. The record is from Rfam. NCBI's taxonomy places the organism in Eukaryota, Metazoa, Platyhelminthes, Trematoda, Strigeidida, Schistosomatidae.